GCUGAAGCAAGUGUUACUGUAUGGAGGGGGGGUGCUUAAUUUCAUUGUUGUAUGCUUGCUUGCACUGUGUGUGUGUGUGCGUGCGUGCACUCGUGCGUGUGUGUGUGUGUGUGUGUGCGUAUGAUGAAAACUAGCCUGCUCACGCAGGGCCGUGCCUCUGUUUCAUCAUCAACUCCAGUCUUCUCUGUUUCGCUAGCUCAUACACUCCUCCUCUUUCUUAGCCAGAUGGCUCGAGUCGCUCACAAGGGGGAGAUUGGACUAUGAAAAAAGAUUGCUGCUGCAGCUUGCGUUCCUGCUGCAAGGGCCUCCUCUUCAGACGGCCUUUGCCAGAGCAGAACUUUUCAAAAUGCUACAAAUAGGAUCUUCUUUUUUUCCUCCUUUAUUUAAACCCUUCUCCUUUUUUUAAAAAUAACCAAAAAAAAAACAAAACAAAAAAAACCGGGACUAAUUUUUCUUGUUUGCUGUGCUGUGCUUGGCUGUACAGUAUAUUGCAGUGUUGAGCUUAAAGCUACAAGUAUUUCUACCACCACCCCCGCUGAUCCAUUUUUUUUCCGUCCUGGUUAAAGAAAUUGGUGUAUUUGAGCAAUGAAUCAGGAUUUGCGAGUUUGUGUGCUCUGAGAAUGAUGGCUUUUAUUGGCGAUUUUUUCCCCUGAGUACCAGUGCCCUGUGCUGCUCAUGGAACCAGCUUCUUUCUUUCUUUCUUUCUUUCUUUCUUUCUUUCUUUCUUUCUUUCUUUCUUUCUUUCUUUCUUUCUUUCUGUCUAUUUUUUAAUUGCUUCAGGUAUCUGUGCCACAUGAACAAGGAUGGAUGCUAGCCCUCCAACCCCCUUAUAAUCUGACCGUGGCUGAAAUGGAAAUACUGCGGGGAUUUUUUUGUCCUUGCAGGGUCCCUCCCCUCCCUUUCUUUCACUGUUUAGGAGGGAAAAGGGGUGUGCGGUAAAAUGCUGUCUCUGGGACAGGUGGCAGCUCCAAGACAAAAGGAAUAAAAUAGGCAGUAAACGGGGAAAAUUAAUAGUCAAUAAAAAUAGGAAUUGGAAAUGUGUAAGCGGCAACAUUGGUAAAGGUGUUGUCAGCUACCCAGCCUUUCUUUUGAAUUUUAUCUGCAGAUAUAGGCUAAAAGGAGAAAGUUUAGGCGUACUUUUUUAUUUGUCCUCUCUAUAGGCAUUUGAAAAGAUAAGGCGGGUUUUUUUUUUUGGACUACUGAAUUAUUCAUAGUGUCAGUGGUGAAGCCAGGACCAUUAGCAUGCAUCAGACAUGCUGUUUGUCUGUUUGCUAACAUUCUUCAUUCAAGACUUGUUAACUACCAGACAAGCUUAACACGCUUCUCUUUUCCCCCUCCCCUUCUCUCUCUCCCUCUCUCUCUCUUUCUCUCUCUCCCUUUCAUGCCACCCCUUUAGUCUCCUAUUGUUGUUGCUGGGAGCUGGCAGCCAGGGGUAGUUGUGGCAGGGAAAGCAUGUGGACGAGAAGCUGGAACCCGUUGCUAGGAGACUGCAGAGCUGCAAGGUGAACACAUUGGCAUCCUCUCUCCGUACCUGGUCCCUGAGGCUUGUUUCCCACCAUUCACAGGGCCCUCUGAAGUUGUACCAACCAGAAUCUACUCUCAACUACCUUGGGCAUGUGCCUGCUCUGGUGUCACAGAUAACAAGAAAGGGAUCAAUGCUGCAGCAUAGAUCUGGAGGAGAGCGGGAAACAACUGGGAAACUGAUUUUUCAUUAAAAACAGACUUUUCUACUUUAUUAAAGGAAGUGUGACUUAUUGCAAAACUGUGUCGAGCUAUCUAUGGAAGUCUCACUAGUAGAAAUUAAAAAAAUGAAAGAAGUUAGACUGGUCUUCUAUACAGAGGAAUUGACAAGAUUUCUCAUCUCUUUUGAAUUUUGGCCUUGUUCUGAUUUCUGAAAACUACCAUCUGAUCAUCAUCAUUUUCUACCAUUGAGAUCACAGAAACACACAAGAGCGUGAGCUCGUUCUGCUGCUGCGGCUAUCAGCCGUACGUGUCACGCUUGGAAGCCGUGUUAUAUUUGGGCAGAAAUCCCAUCAGGACUAAUACAACAAACCAAUUGAUAAGUAAGUAGACGUAAAGAUUAUGCUAGAAAAAUCAUGGAUGAUAAAUCCUA
This is a long non-coding RNA of Caretta caretta (loggerhead turtle), 2113 nucleotides long. RefSeq lists it as uncharacterized. Lineage: Eukaryota; Metazoa; Chordata; Testudines; Cheloniidae. The record is from RefSeq and is a predicted model, not a curated record.